Molecule: ribosomal RNA, 457 nt
Filed under: Gemella haemolysans
Lineage: Bacteria; Bacillati; Bacillota; Bacilli; Caryophanales; Gemellaceae
Description: bacterial SSU rRNA
Rfam family: Bacterial small subunit ribosomal RNA
Source: RNAcentral
GACGAACGUUGGCGGCGUGCCUAAUACAUGCAAGUCGAGCGAAGUUUUUCUGGUGCUUGCACCGGAAAAACUUAGCGGCGAACGGGUGAGUAACACGUAAAGAACCUGCCUCAUAGACUGGGACAACUAUUGGAAACGAUAGCUAAUACCGGAUAACAGCAUUAACUGCAUGGUUGAUGUUUAAAAGUUGGUUUUGCUAACACUAUGAGAUGGCUUUGCGGUGCAUUAGCUAGUUGGUGGGGUAAAGGCCUACCAAGGCGACGAUGCAUAGCCGACCUGAGAGGGUGAUCGGCCACACCGGGACUGAGACACGGCCCAGACUCCUACGGGAGGCAGCAGUAGGGAAUCUUCCGCAAUGGGCGAAAGCCUGACGGAGCAACGCCGCGUGAGUGAAGAAGGAUUUCGGUUCGUAAAGCUCUGUUGUUAGGGAAGAAUGAUUGUGUAGUAACUAUACACA